UCCGGACAAUUUUCUUGUGCCUUCAGACAAGAAACGGAUAUCGUAGAAUGCACAAGCGUAAUUCCUUGUUCCGUCUACUGAACAUUGAACCUGAAACCAUAUGCUUUGGAGUGUUCUUUUUUUUUGACACCUUAAGGAAAAGACGAGAUCAAAUCCGCUUCGGUAGGAAAAUCAUUAAUCAUUAUAACAUUUCUUUGUUUCCAGAUCCCACAGGGUCGAUGAUGAGCUUGGCACUUUUGUCUUUAAUAAUUCAUUCCGAUUUCGUGCAUUUUAAACGAAAAAAUUAUUACACUAAGUUUACACACGAACUGCGAUACAGCAUCAUGAGCAAAGGCAAAAGAAGCGGAAUUGUUAACUAUAGUUCUUCUCUUUGUGUGGAGCAGCAGCAACAGGAAAAUAAAGUCGAACCCGCCGCCACAGAAGGAAACAGACGACAGGGUGACCUUAGCGUGAACGCAAUGAUGUCGUUGUCAGUAUAAAAGAGACCAUGUCACAUUAGGAAGUAGGAAACACAAACACACAAAAAGUGUGUGCAAAUUGGUGUUCACAGUGGCCAGCAGCAGCAACAGCAGUACUACCUCCCUUUACCACCAACGUCGAUCAAAAGCUGCUCCUUACAACAAUGAAAUAGUAGUUUUGUGUUGCUUCCUGCCGUCGUCCAACCGCCAUCAUACCGACAUAAGAAUGCUGCUCUCGCACUACUACCUGCACGGUUGCUGCUGCUAUCUGUCUCUCGCAUCGCAUCUGUCUGCUGCUCUUGUGUGACGCGCGUGCCACAGACUCGCACUUGAUGGGGAAAAGAAGAAGGUCACCACCAUCCCCGAGCCGACGACCGCCAACGGCUUGGCUUUUUGUUGCGAUACUACGGUCCGCCGCAUCGAACAACAAAAUGUUGUCGUGCCAGUGCAGUGCCGUUUGGAAUCAACGUGCCACUCUAUCGGGCAAGAGCAAGCCAUGAACGGCGACGUGGAUUUCAUGCUCUCGGUGUGUUUUCAGAAAAAGCAAGUCUUGUUGUGACGCAAAAUGAGAACAAGAAAGAGAAAGAGAGCACGGAAGCCAAGCAAAACAACAGAGCGAGAGAGUUUCUAUGUGUGUGAUGCAAAGCCAAACCCCAAUGGGAGGGGGGCUAGUAGAGUCGGAAAGAAAAUAAAAGGAGAAAAUUCCUAUAAUCGACCUUGCGACAGACAACGUGUGAUGGCCGCAUACAAAAUACCGUUAGAUUGACCUAUCUAAUGACCAGAGAAGGGGCAGAGGAUAAUGUUGCUGAGACUGAGAUUCUAGGGGGAGGCAGGCCGCAUGUGCCUGUGGUCAACUGCAGAAUUAACAUCACUCAAGAUUUCUAACAAUGGUUCCCAACCGUACUACUUGUCUAGUCUACUGCGUAUAUGAUAUUUCUACGGAUCAAAUAGACCAUCAAAUGUGCCAUCUAAAUCCAGCUUACCGUAUUGAAAUGUCAAUCGAGUGAGCAAAUGACUGGGGGGCUUUGAAAGGCAUGAUGCCUUUUCUUCAUGACGAUUGAUCACCAAAACCUAACACGGAAAUCAUUCGCGCGGCUUGGACGGUUCGUCCCGUGAUUUGUGAGCGGAGCUCCGAACAUGAUGUGUAGAAUAAUGUUCAAUGUUUGAAUCACGGAACAGAACAACACACGUUAUGCCGUUAUCCCGUUAGCCGCCGGCCCAAAGAAGGAAGCCGGAUGUCACGAUCAAAUGCUGCGUGCUUCGACUGCACUCAAGGAUAUCGAGAGAAACUGGCGAAAAAAAAAAACACGUUUGGCAUUUCCUGGUGAACAGGGAGCGAGCCAGUCUAGCAAAUGUUCGUUUUAAUAAACACAGUUUAUAUACUUCAAACGUUCAGCACAUUCCACUCUUGCUCGCUUUGCUUCAACCGAUGGUAACUAAGAUCAGAAUAAGGU
This is a long non-coding RNA of Anopheles aquasalis, 1912 nucleotides long. RefSeq lists it as uncharacterized. NCBI's taxonomy places the organism in Eukaryota, Metazoa, Arthropoda, Insecta, Diptera, Culicidae. The record is from RefSeq and is a predicted model, not a curated record.